AGUGCUAGUCACUCAGUUGGGUUUAAUUCUGUGACCCCAUGGACUAUACCCUGCCAGGCUCCUCUGUCCAUGGAAUUCUUCAGGCAAGAAUACUGGAAUGGGUAGCCUUUCCCUUAUCCAGGGGAUCUUCCCCACCCAGGGAUCCAACCCAGGUCUGCUGCAUUGCAGGCGAUUCUUUACCAGCUGAGCCACAGGGAAGCCCAAUUAAUAAGGGCACUUUUAAAAGAGAGACAGACAGGAAAAAAAAAAGAUUCAAAGCAAAAAAUUAAAACCCCAAACCCCUCUACUGCCUUACCAAAAUUAUCCCUGAGAAACAAUUACAUCGGCUGCUCUAUUCCUACUGUGGAGUAAGGGCCCCGAAGACAACUGUGGAGGAGGGAGCUGCCUGGAUUUUGCCCACAUUCUGAGUCUCUAGCCUCAGUUAAGAAAGAAAAAAACCUGUAGCAAUUAACCGUAGGAUACUGCAUGUGUCCUUUCGGUUUCAUUACUCAGAAACCUCACCCAUAACACAUGGCUGUAAAAACCUGCUCGCCUUUCAACUUUUAAGGAGCAGAGCAGGUUUCCGGAGGAACCAGACUCAAGGGGAGCCCCAGGGAAGAGCCAAAGCAGCUGGGAAUUUGAUACCCCGGUGCUCCAAAGCUAAAAGAAGAAUUAGAAGAAAGCUGCAUGAAUAAAGAUGGGAUCCUUCAUGAUACAGAAAAGACCUCAGCAGAAAUGCUGGCCCAAUGGGAGGAUGCUAUGUGGGAAAAGAAGCAAAUGGUUAAAGAAUUGCAGCAAAAGUUGGAGGACCGAGAAAAAACGUUCGAGAGAUUUAGAGACAAACUCACAAAGGAAAUGAGAGAAAGAGACGACCUUCUGAGAAAGAUGAAUGAGAGGAUUCAGAUGCUGGAACGCUUACUGAGGUUACUAGAAACACUAGAGGAACAGGACAUGAAGAAAGAAGAGCAGGCCAAAAGAGAGGCAGCUGAAAGGGAAAACGAGCCUCUUGAACAAAAGGUUAAAGAACUGCAGCAAAAAUCGGAGAACCAAGAAAAAGUCUUCGAAGUAUUAAGAGACAAAAUGACAGAGGAGUUGAAUGAAAGAGAGAAAGCCUCAGCAGAAGAGCAGAUCAGAAGAGAGGCUGUUGAGAGGGAAAAUGAGUCUCUUGAAAAACAGGUUAAAGAAUUGCAGCAAAAUUUGGAGGACCAAGGAAGAGUCUUCCAGAGAUUAAGAACUGAAAUGACAGAGGAGAUGAGAGAAAGUGAAAACGUCUCAGCAGAAGAGCAGAUCAGACGAGAGGCCACUGAGAGGGAAAAGGAGUCUCUUGAAAAACAGGUUAAAGAAUUGCAGCAAAAUUUGGAGGACCAAGGAAGAGUCUUCCAGAAAUUAAGAACUGAAAUGACAGAGGAGAUGAGAGAAAAUGAAAAGGCCUCAGCAGAAGAGCAGGCCAAAAGAGAGGCUGCUGAGAGGGAAAAGCUUUUAGAGCAAAAGCUUAAAGAAUUGCAACAAAAGUUUGAGGACCAAGAAAGAGCCUUCAAGGUAUUUAGAGUCCAAAUGACAGAAAAGGUGAGAGAAAGAGACAAUUUUCUGAGAAAGAUGAAUGAGAGGAUUGAGAUGCUGGAGGCUGCAGUGAACAAUGAUAAUGACAAGGAUAAUGAGGAAAACACUGAAAAGUACUGAACUUCAUAGACACAGGAAGAUAAUGACAAAGAAAAUACUUCACAGCCUUUUGUUUUAAUCUCAGUUUGGGAGAAUAUAAAACAUGUGUGGUCACUAAUUACUCAGAUUUUUUGUUUGUUUCUUUUAAAUUCUGGUAAUAUUAAAGUUUUCACAAGUGCUUUUUUGAUCUGGAUUAUUUCUAUCUAUGUAUGUACUUUUUCUUUUAUCAUUAAAGUUUUAAUGUAAAAAAUAGAAAAAUCAUCUACUAUAGAACAUCAAUUCCUGGCCCACAAAGGAAAGAAUUAGUGUGGCUGGAUAAUUAAUUUAAGUGGAAAUGGAAGCAACUGAGUAGAAGACAAAGAGGUCAAAUUUGUAAUAUCUUGAAAAAAAGAAAAAUUUUAUUAAGUAAUGCUUCUGAAAGUCACAUAUGAAUAAUUAUACAAAUGAAUAUGUAUACUGGUUUCUUGAGAGGAAAGGACUAAUUUCUUAUACAAAACAACUGUGUUACUUCACUUGUAAAUUUUAUGUGUUUUGAGUUAAAAUUUCACAAAAGCUGAUUGUAAAUUUUAAAUUGAGCUGAUCAAACACAUUAAAAAGCCAUGAAAAUUCAGAAGGGGUACAGGGUUUGGGAAGUUUUCAGCCAUAAUUUCUUCUAUAAAUGAAGUUUAUAGAACUGCAGUCAUUAGAACAAUGUGCCAUCAAGGCAUAAAUCUGAAGACAAAGAAUAACAGCAUGCUGCAUAGUCUAAAAAUAGAACCAACAACAUACCUGAUUAAGGUUGUGUGAAUAGUGUUGUUUCAGAUCAGUGAGACAAUAUAAACAGUACAUGAAGUGCUGUCAGUCUACUGGACAGCCAUAUAGAAUGAGAGUGCCUAGAUCGCUUAUAAAUCUUGCACAAAUAAUAUUCCAGCUUGACUUUAGAUUUAAACAUUAAAAAUAAUCUUGAUAAAAACAGUAAAUGUCAGAUAAUUAUAAAAUAAAUGUGGAAACUUGAAUUUAUUUUUAAGUGAC
This 2649-nucleotide long non-coding RNA is filed under the name Bos indicus x Bos taurus (hybrid cattle). RNAcentral's name for it is "lncRNA (ENSBIXG00000004308.1)". The record is from RNAcentral. Lineage: Eukaryota; Metazoa; Chordata; Mammalia; Artiodactyla; Bovidae.